Molecule: long non-coding RNA, 1876 nt
Organism: Dermacentor albipictus
Lineage: Eukaryota; Metazoa; Arthropoda; Arachnida; Ixodida; Ixodidae
Source: RefSeq, a predicted model, not a curated record
UUUCGUACAGUUUAGGUUUGACAUGCGAUCGCGCGUCGACAUCGGACGCUAUGGCACACUCGUGCCUUAUGUGCCACCGAAGCCCCGAAGUGGUCUGGCAUAUACCUUCACAUACAAUGCCUACGCCUAGCCACAGCAGCUCCCUCAUACAGACUCCGCAAGCCAAGAGGCCGUGGAGACAAAUGCAGGCAGCCUGCACAUCUCGAACAGCCACCUUGACUGCGGGUGUGUCACCCUAGUCGCCAAGAAAACAUUUGAGGGAAAGUGACAGGUAAUGUGAACAGCCACUUCUCCAUGUAAACAAUACUCUUUCUCUCGGAUGACUCCUACGCCUCACCACGCCAGCACACUUGUGCACAAAGAUGCCGCAGAGGCACGUGCAGGUCAGAGGCAAGAAGCAGUGGCACUGGUGUCGACAUUUACCCAAUUUCUUUUUCUUGCACUGAGGCAGCCAGCACACCUCGAACAGCCACCUUGACUGCGGGUGUGUUAGUAGAUUCCUGUUGUACAUAUGCUCAUAAUAAACUUCAGUAAACUUGAACUUCAUAAUAAACUUGAAGGCAAAUGGGACAUUGAUGCAUUGUAUUGUUGAAUAUUUAUUGUACACAUACAAUAUAUGUUAUACGUUGCAGUGCUACAGAGCGUAUUUUGAAACUUCCCCCUAUAUUUUGCACCUUUAAUUACGUAUGUGUUGUGUGGCCCUCAAUGCAGUUCAUAUUGUAGCAGCUGCUUUGUCUGUGUAUCGCACAUUGGCGUAAGCUAGUGAUAUCCAUAUACUUCUCUCACAUAUACAAAAUAAAGUUCUAUGUAGUCCUCAGUGUUACAACAAAAAAUGAAAGUAAACAAUCCGAUCGUGGAAUUGUGUUUAUUACAGUGAUUCCUACGAUAGUUACUGACAAGUUGAGAACUUGAACUGGUCAAUCGGUCUAUAGCCUCCUUUAUUUUUCAAAAAUAAAGGAUGCUAUGAUCCGUCAUGGCAAGGAAUUGUAUGUAUACAUAAAAUAAAGGGGGUAUGUGUGUGUUUGUAGUGGGGGUAUAGGAUUAGGGCGGUACGAAGAAAUGUACCAACACCGUCCUCUAGGCCCAUUCUGUUAAGGUACCGUAACAAAGCGUAUUAUGCAUAAAGUUCAUACAACCAACUCUGAUAUUACUACAGACGCCAGGCGACGCGAGCUACAUUUGUCAUGAUGCAUUUGCGACUGCACCGGAUGCCCUCCACAUUAUUCUCGUGAAUCGUGCUCACUGCGCCGAGGGAAAAGAAAUAUCAUGGGCGCAGGUGCCUUUAAAGUAUCUCGACCUUGCGAGGCACGGCUGCGCAUGCCAGGGGAGCUGUCCGUGCGAACACUCCCUGGCACACGCCUGCCUCGGCGGCCCCAACCUACGUAUCGUUCUGCUUCGAGCUUUGAUCCCCCCACUGUCCCUCGGGUGCCCUAGAGUUCCUGCGCCGCCUGCUCUACUAUCAUCUCAGGUGCUCUCCUGAGACUUCCGUUUGUCGGUUACAUGUGCCCUACAGCUGGAUCAUUACUUAUACUAAUAAAAAACCCGAUCUAUCGUGACGACGAUAGAUCGCGAAAGCGGCUUUUGCAACAUACCGCACCCGUGCGAAGAGAAUUACGGAACGCCAACGAGGAAUCUGACCACAGCUUCGAGCUCGUAACGUCGUCGAGUGACACUCCUGCAACAGGCGUGACCGCUGAAAACCGCAUACCGCCGGAAACUUGAACAGGAUCAUCCCUCGGAUGCAUAACUGCCAGCUGUACGGCCAACAUGGACCACACCCACACCAUCCCGCAACAUAGAAUAAAGAACCGACUUAUAAAGCCCAAAACACGGCUGCACGCUCACAUCACAACACUACAAGCGAGACGCCAUGCUG